This 440-nucleotide ribosomal RNA is filed under the name uncultured bacterium. Its description in RNAcentral is "partial 16S ribosomal RNA". It matches the Rfam family "Bacterial small subunit ribosomal RNA", at positions 338 to 795 of the family's 1533-position model. The record is from RNAcentral.
CCUACGGGUGGCAGCAGUAGGGAAUAUUGCUCAAUGGGGGAAACCCUGAAGCAGCAACGCCGCGUGGAGGAUGAAGGUUUUCGGAUUGUAAACUCCUUUUGUUAGAGAAGAUAAUGACGGUAUCUAACGAAUAAGCACCGGCUAACUCCGUGCCAGCAGCCGCGGUAAUACGGAGGGUGCAAGCGUUACUCGGAAUCACUGGGCGUAAAGAGGGCGUAGGCGGGAUAGCAAGUCAGAUGUGAAAUCCUAUGGCUUAACCAUAGAACUGCAUUUGAAACUGUUAUUCUAGAGUAUGGGAGAGGUAGGUGGAAUUCUUGGUGUAGCGGUAAAAUCCGUAGAGAUCAAGAGGAAUACUCAUUGCGAAGGCGACCUGCUAGAACAUAACUGACGCUGAUGCGCGAAAGCGUGGGGAGCAAACAGGAUUAGAUACCCCAGUAGUC